AUUGAACGCUGGCGGCAGGCCUAACACAUGCAAGUCGAACGAGUGGCGGACGGGUGAGUAAUGACUGGGAAACUGCGUGAUGGAGGGGGAUAACUACUGGAAACGGUAGCUAAUAACGCAUACCAUCAGAUGUGCCCAGAUGGGAUUAGCUUGUUGGUGGGGUAACGGCUCACCAAGGCGACGAUCCCUAGCUGGUCUGAGAGGAUGACCAGCCACACUGGAACUGAGACACGGUCCAGCCUCCUACGGGAGGCAGCAGUGGGGAAUAUUGCACAAUGGGCGCAAGCCUGAUGCAGCCCUUCCGCGUGUAUGAAGAAGGCCUUCGGUUUGUAAAGUACUUUCAGCGGGGAGGCGUUACCCGCAGAAUAAGCACCGGCUAACUCCGUGCCAGCAGCCGCGGUAAUUC
Molecule: ribosomal RNA, 406 nt
Filed under: uncultured bacterium
Lineage: Bacteria
Description: partial 16S ribosomal RNA
Rfam family: Bacterial small subunit ribosomal RNA
Source: RNAcentral